AUACGUAGGGUGCGAGCGUUAAUCGGAAUUACUGGGCGUAAAGCGUGCGCAGGCGGUUUUGUAAGACAGGCGUGAAAUCCCCGGGCUCAACCUGGGAAUGGUGCUUGUGACUGCAAGGCUAGAGUGCGUCAGAGGGGGGUAGAAUUCCACGUGUAGCAGUGAAAUGCGUAGAGAUGUGGAGGAAUACCGAUGGCGAAGGCAGCCCCCUGGGACGAGACUGACGCUCAUGCACGAAAGCGUGGGGAGCAAACAGGAUUAGAAACCCUUGUAGUCC
This 274-nucleotide ribosomal RNA is filed under the name uncultured bacterium. Its description in RNAcentral is "partial 16S ribosomal RNA". It matches the Rfam family "Bacterial small subunit ribosomal RNA", at positions 523 to 796 of the family's 1533-position model. The record is from RNAcentral.